Molecule: RNA transcript, 2614 nt
Organism: Sapajus apella (tufted capuchin)
Lineage: Eukaryota; Metazoa; Chordata; Mammalia; Primates; Cebidae
Gene name: general transcription factor IIE subunit 1 pseudogene
Exons: 2
Source: RefSeq, a predicted model, not a curated record
AUGUUAAAAAUGACUUUCCCUGAUCAGAGCUUUGAGUUGACUCAAAGCGGCCCGUGUGCGACCUCGGGAACUUUCCGCUAUACUUUUUGCCAUACAGAGGUAGAAGAGGAUGAGUCAGCAAUGCCCAAAAAAGAUGCACGCACACUUUUGGCAAGGUUUAAUGAACAAAUUGAGCCCAUUUAUGCAUUGCUUCGGGAGACAGAGGAUGUGAACUUGGCCUAUGAAAUACUUGAGCCAGAACCCACAGAAAUCCCAGCCCUGAAACAGAGCAAGGACCAUGCAGCAACUACUACUGUAGCUGCUAGCCUGGCAGGUAGGCACCACCGGGAAGCAUGGACCACCAAAGGUCCUUCCUAUGAGGACUUAUACACUCAGAAUGUUGUCAUUAACAUGGAUGACCAAGAUCUUCAUCGAGCCUCCCUGGAAGGGAAAUCUGCUAAAGAGAGGCCCAUUUGGUUGAGAGAGAGCACUGUCCAAGGGGCCUAUAGUUCUGAAGAUAUGAAAGAAGGGGGCAUAGAUAUGGAUGCAUCUCAGGAGCAGGAAGAAGGCCGUGCAGGGCCUGAUGAUAAUGAAGAAGUCAUGCGAGCACUGCUCAUUCAUGAGAAAAAGACUUCCUCUGCCAUGGCUGGUUCAGUGGGGGCAGCCGCUCCAGUAACCACUGCCAAUGGCAGUGACUCAGAAAGUGAGACCAGUGAAUCAGAUGAUGAUUCUCCACCCCAUCCAGCAACUGUGGCUGCACAUCAACGAGAAGAGGAUGAAGAGGAGGAUGACGAGUUUGAAGAAGUAGCAGAUGACCCCAUUGUCAUGGUGGCUGGCCGUCCGUUCUCCUACAGUGAAGUGAGUCAACGGCCGGAGCUAGUGGCUCAGAUGACACCAGAAGAAAAGGAGGCGUAUAUAGCAAUGGGACAGCGCAUGUUUGAGGACCUCUUUGAGUGAGCUUUCCCUACUUUCUCCUUUCUGUAAUGCUCAGUUCAAAAGAAAUGUCUCAUCUUUAAAGAAAAGUAUUUAAGUGGCUUUCUGCCCCUUUUGAUGUAAGCAGCUGUUGUUCCUUGUGCAAAGAAUGAUGUGAGAGAGUUUGACUUUUAUGCCAGAAACUUUCCCAGCAAUGUAGAGUGGUGGGAAACCUACCCUUCCCUGCUGUCACUACAGUAUUAAUAUUUUACUGUAUUUUCUCAUCUACCUUUUUUCUUGCCUUAUUAAGACAUAAUUUUCUCCCUUCUGAAAUGAGUGAGGGAAGUUCAUAAGUAAAUCCUUCCUGUCCUUCUGUUUACUGCAAUAGAUUAUAAUAAUUCACUGAUUACACAUCCAUUUUAUCUGUUCUAGCAAGGCAUUCCAAACAAUUUCUUAUACUGCUGCCCACCAAAGCAGCUUGCCAACAAGCAAAUCAUGGAUUGGGGGAAAGAUCCUAAAACUUCCUUAGAAUUUGAGUGUUUCCUCAAAAUUGAGAUGGGUCAAUAUGUAAAGGGAGGUGAGAAUAUGUGUGGAAGAAGGAUAGAUAUACUUGAGUCUCGUGAUUAAUGUCUAAACCAGAAUUUGUAUCUGUAGAACUGACCAGACUGGUGGAUUUUAUUGUAUUGGUUAAUGUCGUUCGGUUUGGAUUUGGGAUGAUAGAAAACAGAAAGUAUAAUUGGUAAACCGUUAGUAAGAAAUUAGAAAAAACAUGGACAUUGGACAAGAACUCUGUGUAAAGGGUUGAAGAGUAACAAGUAUUGGGAACCGUGCCUUAGAACUGUGUGUUUGUCUGAUUUAGAAAUCCCUUAUAUAAAGCUGAGACUGGUCCUGGUUUUGUUCCCUUUGUGUACAGACCUUUUGUCAGUGUUAUAAAUUGUUUAAUGAGGCCAUUCUAGCAGAAAUCAGCAUAGAAUAAUUUAUUCUUCUUCUCUGUCUCUGUCACUCUCCCUCUUUCUGAACAUCAUUAAAGGUUGUCUCUCUUUUCAUUCUUGUCAGAUAUGGUAUUUUAGAGUGCAUCCAGUAUAUCAUCGAGCAUUGUAACCUCAAUUGGGUUUUGAUAUGUAGCAUGGUGUUGUUCCCUAAGGCAGAACUUUAAAAAUAAAGAACUUUGACACCAAAAAAAAAAAAAAAAAAAAAAAGAAAGUACAUUCCUGCUAGGUUGGGGAGCUUGGCUUAAUGUUAAAGGUAUGUAUUUGUUUAGUUCUGGUUAUAAUCUCAUAAUGCAUCCAGGAUAGAGGGCUUAAUGUUGGUUUCAAUAAAGGCCAGUUACUAUCCUAACCCCAUCCCAAAGGUGAAUGAUGGAUGGAUGUAUGAUCGGUGGACUGAAUGACUUAUUAAUUCAUUUUUGUUGGCUCAUUAAUUUCAUUUUUAUUAAUAAAUUUUUGUUGGCUUACUACCCUAACUGCCAUGAAGGAAAACAAUGAGUAAGUUACAUUUUCAGCUCUCAAAGAGGAGAUUGAGAACUUUUAAUGUAAGACAGAGGGAAGUGAUUUUAUACAGAUAAAAAUACUUAUGUUAUUGGGAUUUCCUGCCAUGUUAUUCAGCAUGAUUUGUACUUAUGGAAAUUAUCGAGACUUAAUUGUAUAGCAUCUAUAUAGUCAGCCCUCUGUGUCCAAGGGUUUCACAUCCAUGGAUUUAACCAACCACAGAUUGAAAAUACUUG